This 259-nucleotide unclassified non-coding RNA is filed under the name air metagenome. RNAcentral's name for it is "partial contains small subunit ribosomal RNA, internal transcribed spacer 1, and 5.8S ribosomal RNA". The stretch from base 1 to 46 matches the Rfam family "Eukaryotic small subunit ribosomal RNA", at positions 1786 to 1831 of the family's 1831-position model. The record is from RNAcentral.
AAGUCAUAACAAGGUUUCUGUAGGUGAACCUGCAGAAGGAUCAUUAGUGAAAACUAGGCGCGACUUUCGAGUUGCGCCGUUUCCCACGAUUCUCACACCUGUGCAUGCGGUCGGAGUAGCCCCUGUCUCUCGCCUAGCGAGUCUGCAGGGGGAUGUCCGGCCGGUAUUUUACCAACACAACUGUCCUAUGGAUGUUGCAAAAGAAAGUCUCGAAAGAGCAAUAGAAAGAAAACUUUCGACAACGGAUCUCUUGGUUCUC